UACGUAGGCAGCGAGCGUUGUUCGGAGUUACUGGGCGUAAAGGGUGUGUAGGCGGUUCCUUAAGUUUGUCGUGAAAUCUCCCGGCUCAACCGGGAGGGUGCGGCGAAUACUGAGGAGCUAGAGUGCGGGAGAGGAAAGUGGAAUUCCUGGUGUAGCGGUGAAAUGCGUAGAUAUCAGGAGGAACACCGGUGGUGUAGACGGCUUUCUGGACCGUAACUGACGCUGAGACACGAAAGCGUGGGUAGCAAACAGG
This 253-nucleotide ribosomal RNA is filed under the name uncultured bacterium. RNAcentral describes it as "partial 16S ribosomal RNA". It matches the Rfam family "Bacterial small subunit ribosomal RNA", at positions 524 to 776 of the family's 1533-position model. The record is from RNAcentral.